GACGAACGCUGGCGGCGUGCUUAACACAUGCAAGUCGAACGGAAAGGCCCUGCUUUUGUGGGGUGCUCGAGUGGCGAACGGGUGAGUAACACGUGAGUAACCUGCCCUUGACUUUGGGAUAACUUCAGGAAACUGGGGCUAAUACCGGAUAGGAGCUCCUGCUGCAUGGUGGGGGUUGGAAAGUUUCGGCGGUUGGGGAUGGACUCGCGGCUUAUCAGCUUGUUGGUGGGGUAGUGGCUUACCAAGGCUUUGACGGGUAGCCGGCCUGAGAGGGUGACCGGCCACAUUGGGACUGAGAUAGGGCCCAGUCUCCUACGGGAGGCAGCAGUGGGGAAUAUUGCACAAUGGGCGGGAGCGUGAUGCAGCAACGCCGCGUGCGGGAUGACGGCCUUCGGGUUGUAAACCGCUGUCGCCUGUGACGAAGCGUGAGUGACGGUAAUGGGUAAAGAAGCACCGGCUAACUACGUG
RNAcentral lists this ribosomal RNA (468 nucleotides) under uncultured bacterium. Its description in RNAcentral is "partial 16S ribosomal RNA". It matches the Rfam family "Bacterial small subunit ribosomal RNA", at positions 28 to 507 of the family's 1533-position model. The record is from RNAcentral.